Molecule: long non-coding RNA, 663 nt
Organism: Neodiprion virginianus
Lineage: Eukaryota; Metazoa; Arthropoda; Insecta; Hymenoptera; Diprionidae
Exons: 2
Source: RefSeq, a predicted model, not a curated record
UUUCUCAUCUUAAAUCUGUUACUCCUAAUUUAGAGAAAAUCAACUGUGUAUAUAAAAUACCAUGUCGAGACUGUAGCAUGAGUUAUAUUGGACAAACGUCACAACACCUAAAAAAUAGAAUUUCUGGUCAUCGUUCUAAUAUCAAAUGCCAUGUCACUGAAAGAUGCGCUUUAGCAGAUCACGCUUUGACCCUGGGUCACAAUUUCGAUUUUAACAACUCUAUAACCCUUGCUACAGAACCGAAUUGGUACAAACGCAUUAUCAAAGAAAUGAUACAUAUCUCUAAGAACAAAAGGAACUCGGUUAACAAACGUACAGAUAUCGAACAUCUUAGCCACCUAUACUCUAACAUUCUCUAGUCUACAUUAUCGUUGGUUCUCAAAACAUUAACGCCCCUUACUCCUGAUUGGUCACUGCCUUUGUACUCCAUGACUUUCGAGCACAGAUCAAAUUUCACACGUGAUCAACAACAUAGAUUUACGGAUUGAUCCCCGCUAACCUUCACUUCCGUCCGAAAUGCUGUACCACUAACAACAUCUAAGCAUGUACCGGUUGUCAUUUUUUAUUUUAUUUCCUGAGGAUGGUCGGCAGGGCCCGGCCGAAACGUCGAUUUUGUAUAUUCACGUUUUUCAACUAUUAAAUUCUUCUUCUUCCUGACCGGAA